RNAcentral lists this ribosomal RNA (577 nucleotides) under uncultured bacterium. Its description in RNAcentral is "bacterial SSU rRNA". It matches the Rfam family "Bacterial small subunit ribosomal RNA", at positions 338 to 917 of the family's 1533-position model. The record is from RNAcentral.
CCUACGGGAGGCAGCAGUAAGGAAUAUUGCUCAAUGGCCGAAAGGCUGAAGCAGCAACGCCGCGUGGAGGAUGAAAUACUUUUGUAUGUAAACUCCUGUAAGAGGGGAAAAAUAUCUCAUUAUUUGGGAUUGAUUGUACCCUCAGAGUAAGCACCGGCUAACUACGUGCCAGCAGCCGCGGUAAUACGUAGGGUGCUAGAGUUGUCCGGAUUUACUGGGUGUAAAGGGUGCUCAGGUGGAUUUGUAAGUCAGAGGUGAAAUCCCAAAGCUUAACUUUGGUGCUGCCUUUGAUACUGCAAGUCUAGAGUUUGAGAGAGGGCAAUGGAAUAUCUGGUGUAGCAGUGAAAUGCGUAGAUAUCAGAUAGAACACCAAUGGCGAAGGCAGUUGCCUGGCUCAAAACUGACGCUAAAGCACGAAAGUGUGGGGAGCAAACAGGAUUAGAUACCCUGGUAGUCCACACCCUAAACGAUGAAUACUAGAUGUUGGUUCUUUUUAGGAUCAGUAUCCAAGCUAACGCAUUAAGUAUUCCACCUGGGAAGUACAAUCGCAAGGUUGAAACUCAAAGGAAUUGACGGA